Long non-coding RNA from Canis lupus familiaris (dog), 553 nucleotides. RefSeq lists it as uncharacterized. The transcript is spliced from 3 exons. Lineage: Eukaryota; Metazoa; Chordata; Mammalia; Carnivora; Canidae. The record is from RefSeq and is a predicted model, not a curated record.
UACAUAAGCUGGGGCCCCUAGAGAGCCUCAGAGACAGCUGAUCACCAAAAAGAUCAAGUAAUUAGAGCGUUGGAACUUUCAACCCCACCUCCAUUGACCUCCAGAGAGGAGGGAGCCUGGAAAUUGAGCUCUAUUAAAACUCAUACAAGAAAUUCAGAUGGUUUCCAGAAGCCUUCUUAAGCAAGCUCCCUCCCCUCUGCCAUAUCCUCAAAUAUAUCACUCUGGAUUCAAGUCUCUGCAUCUCCUACCUUCCAAAAAGGUGAAUGGUGGAAGGAGCAUUUAUCAUUCUAUCUCUUCUAGCUCUUUUUCUUAUAUCGUGUAAAACACCUACCAGCUUGAAUUCACCUAAACACCUAAUUAAAGGGUUUUUAAAAUAGAAGUCUUCUAGAUUAUUUACGAACAUGUUAAACAAAGCUGGGUUUGACCUUAAACUCUACAAGGUCUGCUAAUCUAAACCAAGAUCCUUCAUCCACAUGCUGCUUGAUUUUAAGCUCUCCAUUGUUGGGCAGCCUCGGUGGCGCGGCGGUUUAGCGCCGCCUGCAACCCACCGCGU